This 253-nucleotide ribosomal RNA is filed under the name uncultured bacterium. RNAcentral's name for it is "partial 16S ribosomal RNA". It matches the Rfam family "Bacterial small subunit ribosomal RNA", at positions 524 to 776 of the family's 1533-position model. The record is from RNAcentral.
UACGUAGGGACCGAGCGUUGGCCGGAAUCAUUGGGCGUAAAGGGUGCGUAGGCGGCGCGGUAAGUCGGGUGUGAAAUCUCGGGGCUUAACUCCGAAACUGCAUUCGAUACUACCGUGCUUGAGGACUGGAGAGGAGACUGGAAUUUACGGUGUAGCGGUGAAAUGCGUAGAUAUCGUAAGGAAGACCAGUGGCGAAGGCGGGUCUCUGGACAGUUCCUGACGCUGAGGCACGAAGGCCAGGGGAGCAAAAGGG